GCCCUUUCGGGGGUGCUCGAGUGGCGAACGGGUGAGUAACACGUGGGUGAUCUGCCCUGCACUUUGGGAUAAGCCUGGGAAACUGGGUCUAAUACCGGAUAGGAUCACGCGCCUCAUGGUGUGUGGUGGAAAGCUUUUGCGGUGUGGGAUGGGCCCGCGGCCUAUCAGCUUGUUGGUGGGGUAAUGGCCUACCAAGGCGACGACGGGUAGCCGGCCUGAGAGGGUGUCCGGCCACACUGGGACUGAGAUACGGCCCAGACUCCUACGGGAGGCAGCAGUGGGGAAUAUUGCACAAUGGGCGCAAGCCUGAUGCAGCGACGCCGCGUGGGGGAUGACGGCCUUCGGGUUGUAAACCUCUUUCAGUAUCGGCGAAGCUCCGUGGUUUUCUGCGGGGUGACGGUAGGUACAGAAGAAGCACCGGCCAACUACGUGCCAGCAGCCGCGGUAAUACGUAGGGUGCGAGCGUUGUCCGGAAUUACUGGGCGUAAAGAGCUCGUAGGUGGUUUGUCGCGUUGUUCGUGAAAACUCACAGCUUAACUGUGGGCGUGCGGGCGAUACGGGCAGACUGGAGUACUGUAGGGGAGACUGGAAUUCCUGGUGUAGCGGUGGAAUGCGCAGAUAUCAGGAGGAACACCGGUGGCGAAGGCGGGUCUCUGGGCAGUAACUGACACUGAGGAGCGAAAGCGUGGGGAGCGAACAGGAUUAGAUACCCUGGUAGUCCACGCCGUAAACGGUGGGUACUAGGUGUGGGUUUCCUUCCUUUAGGGAUCCGUGCCGUAGCU
This 782-nucleotide ribosomal RNA is filed under the name uncultured bacterium. Its description in RNAcentral is "SSU rRNA". It matches the Rfam family "Bacterial small subunit ribosomal RNA", at positions 74 to 853 of the family's 1533-position model. The record is from RNAcentral.